UCAGGGAAGAACUAAAGUGACGGUACCUGAGGAAUAAGGGGCUGCAAAACUCGUGCCAGCAGCAGCGGUAAAACGAGUGCCCCAAGCGUUAUCCGGAAUUACUGGGCAUAAAGGGUGCGUAGGUGGUCUUAUUAGUCGUUUGUUAAAACUCCCGGCCUAACCGGGAAGCAGUGAACGAAACGGUAAGACUAGAGAGAGUGAGAGGUUAGCAGAACUCAUGGUGUAGGGGUGAAAUCCGUUGAUAUCAU
RNAcentral lists this ribosomal RNA (248 nucleotides) under uncultured prokaryote. Its description in RNAcentral is "partial 16S ribosomal RNA". It matches the Rfam family "Bacterial small subunit ribosomal RNA", at positions 439 to 700 of the family's 1533-position model. The record is from RNAcentral.